Molecule: ribosomal RNA, 891 nt
Filed under: Enterococcus durans
Lineage: Bacteria; Bacillati; Bacillota; Bacilli; Lactobacillales; Enterococcaceae
Description: partial 23S ribosomal RNA
Rfam family: Bacterial large subunit ribosomal RNA
Source: RNAcentral
AUGGUCAAGCAGAAAGGGCACAGGGCGGAUGCCUUGGCACUAAGGGCCGAAGAAAGACGUGAUAAGCUGCGAUAAGCUUCGGGGAGGAGCAAAUAUCCAUUGAUCCGGAGAUCUCUGAAUGGGGAAACCCACAUGAGCAAACCUCAUGUAUCCAUACGCCAAUCCAUAACGUAUGGAGGGGAACCCGGGGAACUGAAACAUCUAAGUACCCGGAGGAAAAGAAAGAAAACUCGAUUCCGUAAGUAGCGGCGAGCGAACGCGGAAGAGCCUAAACCGGUGUGCGUGCACACCGGGGUUACGGACUGCAUUUAAGAUUCUGCAAUGUUAGUGGAACGGUUUUGGGAAAGCCGGCCGGAGAGGGUGAAAGCCCCGUAGACGAAAACAGAGCAGACUGAGCAGGAUCCAGAGUACCGCGGGACACGAGAAACCCUGCGGGAAGUGAGGGGGACCACCCCCUAAGGCUAAAUACCACUUAGUGACCGAUAGCGCAUAGUACUGUGAAGGAAAGGUGAAAAGGACCCCGGGAGGGGAGUGAAAGAGAACCUGAAACCCUGUGUCUACAAGCUGUGGGAGUGCUUUAUAUGCACGACCGCGUACUUUUUGUAGAACGGUCCGGCGAGUUGCGCUCACUGGCAAGGUUAAGCACCGAAGGUGCGGAGCCGUAGGGAAACCAAGUCUUAAGAGGGCCAGAGUCAGUGGGGGCAGACCCGAAACCGGGUGAUCUAUCCAUGUCCAGGUUGAAGCUGCCGUAAGAGGCAGUGGAGGACCGAACCCACAUCCGUUGAAAAGGGUGGGGAUGAGGUGUGGAUAGGGGAGAAAUUCCAAUCGAACCCGGAGAUAGCUGGUUCUCCUCGAAAUAGCUUUAGGGCUAGCCUUGGUAGAGAUUUGCGG